UGGGGAAUUUUGGACAAUGGGCGCAAGCCUGAUCCAGCCAUUCCGCGUGCAGGAUGAAGGCCCUCGGGUUGUAAACUGCUUUUGUACGGAACGAAAAGGCUUUCUCUAAUACAGAGGGCUCAUGACGGUACCGUAAGAAUAAGCACCGGCUAACUACGUGCCAGCAGCCGCGGUAAUACGUAGGGUGCAAGCGUUAAUCGGAAUUACUGGGCGUAAAGCGUGCGCAGGCGGUUAUGUAAGACAGGUGUGAAAUCCCCGGGCUUAACCUGGGAACUGCAUUUGUGACUGCAUAGCUAGAGUACGGUAGAGGGGGAUGGAAUUCCGCGUGUAGCAGUGAAAUGCGUAGAUAUGCGGAGGAACACCGAUGGCGAAGGCAAUCCCCUGGACCUGUACUGACGCUCAUGCACGAAAGCGUGGGGAGCAAACA
Molecule: ribosomal RNA, 427 nt
Filed under: uncultured Ramlibacter sp.
Lineage: Bacteria; Pseudomonadati; Pseudomonadota; Betaproteobacteria; Burkholderiales; Comamonadaceae
Description: bacterial SSU rRNA
Rfam family: Bacterial small subunit ribosomal RNA
Source: RNAcentral